This 74-nucleotide transfer RNA is filed under the name Pectinophora gossypiella (pink bollworm). RNAcentral's name for it is "transfer RNA leucine (anticodon CAA)". It matches the Rfam family "tRNA". From Rfam's summary of the family: Transfer RNA (tRNA) molecules are approximately 80 nucleotides in length. Their secondary structure includes four short double-helical elements and three loops (D, anti-codon, and T loops). Further hydrogen bonds mediate the characteristic L-shaped molecular structure. tRNAs have two regions of fundamental functional importance: the anti-codon, which is responsible for specific mRNA codon recognition, and the 3' end, to which the tRNAs corresponding amino acid is attached (by aminoacyl-tRNA synthetases). tRNAs cope with the degeneracy of the genetic code in two manners: having more than one tRNA (with a specific anti-codon) for a particular amino acid; and 'wobble' base-pairing, i.e. permitting non-standard base-pairing at the 3rd anti-codon position. Lineage: Eukaryota; Metazoa; Arthropoda; Insecta; Lepidoptera; Gelechiidae. The record is from RNAcentral.
GGCCUCUGUGGUUCAGUGGUUGAACGUUGGGCUCAAAAUCCGGAGGUCCCGGGUUCGAAUCCCGGUGAGGACCA